This 1234-nucleotide ribosomal RNA is filed under the name metagenome. Its description in RNAcentral is "bacterial LSU rRNA". It matches the Rfam family "Bacterial large subunit ribosomal RNA", at positions 1564 to 2808 of the family's 2925-position model. The record is from RNAcentral.
UGAAUACGAGAUGCUACGGCGUCGAAGCAGUCUAUGUCAUACUUCCAAGAAAAGCUUGCACUGUCAUAAACAAAUAAUGCCUGUACCAUAACCGACACAGGUGGGUAGGUAGAGUAUACUAAGGGGCGCGAGAUAACUCUCUCUAAGGAACUCGGCAAAAUGACUCCGUAACUUCGGGAGAAGGAGUGCCUUAUUUAUAAGGUUGCAAUAACAAGAUCCAAGCAACUGUUUACCAAAAACACAGGUCUCCGCUAAGUCGUAAGACGAUGUAUGGGGGCUGACGCCUGCCCAGUGCCAGAAGGUUAAAGAAGUUGGUUAGCAUCCGCGAAGCUGAUAACUGCAGCCCUGGUGAACGGCGGCCGUAACAAUAACGGUCCUAAGGUAGCGAAAUUCCUUGUCGGGUAAGUUCCGACCCGCACGAAAGGCGUAAUGAUUUGGAUACUGUCUCGGAGAGGGGCUCGGUGAAAUAGACUUGUCUGUGAAGAUGCGGACUACCUGCACCAGGACAGAAAGACCCUAUGAAGCUUUACUGUAACCUGAAAUUGAAAUUGGACUUUACUUGCGCAGUAUAGGUGGGAGGCGUUGAGAAUAUUCUUGCGGGAUUAUUGGAGCCAUCAGUGAGAUACCACUCUUGUAAUGUUAGAUUUCUAACUUUGUAUCAUUAUCUGGUCAAAGAACAGUUUCAGGCGGGCAGUUUGACUGGGGCGGUCGCCUCCUAAACGGUAACGGAGGCGCACAAAGGUUUCCUCUGAACGGGUAGAAAUCGUAUCUAGAGUGUAAAGGCAUAAGGAAGCUUGACUGUGAGACCUACAAGUCGAGCAGGGACGAAAGUCGGUCUUAGUGAUCUGACGGUGCUGAGUGGAAAGGCCGUCACUCAACGGAUAAAAGUUACUCUAGGAUAACAGGCUGAUCUCCCCCAAGAGUUCACAUCGACGGGGAGGUUUGGCACCUCGAUGUCGGCUCAUCGCAUCCUGGGGCGGUAGUACGUCCCAAGGGUUGGGCUGUUCGCCCAUGAAAGCGGUACGCGAGCUGGGUUCAGAACGUCGUGAGACAGUUCGGUCCAUAUCCGGUGUAGGCGUUAGAAUAUUGAGAGGAGCCUUCUUUAGUACGAGAGGACCGAGAAGGACAUACCUCUGGUGUACCAGUUAUCGUGCCAACGGUAAACGCUGGGUAGCUAUGUGUGGAGUGGAUAACCGCUGAAAGCAUCUAAGUGGGAAGCCCACCUCAAGAUAAG